GUGAUUAAAAAAAUUGGGUUCAUUUUUCUCAUUUGAAAUUUCAUAAAUAAAAAAGAAAAUUUCUUCAAACAUUUUUUUGAGAGGAUUAAUAUUCAACAGCAUAGUGAAUUGCUCUAAGAGAAACAAAAAAUUUAAGUUCAUUAGAACACAUUCAUUCUGUGUCAGAAACCUAUGCUGUGUCAACUAUUUAAUCACAAUCCAAAUUUAGAGCUGAAUCCAGCUUGAAUGUUGUGUCCAUACUUUCCCCAACUGUUCAGGGUUCAACCUCUGCGGUCGUAUAAAGCUACGCCCUGCGGAGCAUCUGGUUAUAGUUAUAUAU
RNAcentral lists this long non-coding RNA (319 nucleotides) under Mytilus galloprovincialis (Mediterranean mussel). The record is from RNAcentral. Lineage: Eukaryota; Metazoa; Mollusca; Bivalvia; Mytilida; Mytilidae.